AUGUUCCUUCUUCUGGUGCUUCUCACUGGACUUGGUGGGAUGCAUGCAGACCUCAAUCCUCAUAAAAUCUUCCUGCAGACCACAAUUCCAGAGAAGAUUUCAUCAUCGGAUGCAAAAACAGAUCCAGAACAUAAUGUUAUUUACAUGAUUACCAUAGGGAAAGCCAUAUUUUGUCCAUCUCAAAAAGCAAUCAAUUUUAUCUUCAGCUUCUGUUAUUAAUUCUUAUGACGAAAAUGACAUCCGUCAUUCCAAACCUCUGCUAGUUCAGAUGGAUUGCAAUUAUAAUGGAUAUGUUGCGGGUAUUCCAAAUUCUCUUGUGACUCUCAGCGUAUGUUCAGGACUCAGGGGAACAAUGCAGCUGAAAAACAUCUCAUAUGGAAUUGAACCGAUGGAGGCUGUAUCAGGAUUUAUACACAAGAUUUAUGAAGAAAAAUAUGCUGACACUAAUAUUCUCUUAGAAGAAAAUGACACUUAUACUUGGUUUAAUUCAGAGUAUCAAGUCAGAAAAAGUUCAGAAUUCAAACCGGCUAAUAUGAUUUGUAGGAAAUCAGUUGGUAAAGAAUGCGAUUUCACUGAAUAUUGCAAUGGGGACCUUCCAUACUGUUUGCCUGACACUUAUGUACGUGAUGGAGAAUAUUGUGAUUCAGGUGGAGCCUUCUGUUUUCAAGGAAAGUGUCGGACUUUUGACAAACAAUGUGAUGAUUUAAUUGGAAGAGGUUCAAGAGGUGCUCCGGUUUUCUGUUAUGAUGAAAUUAAUACCAGAGGAGACAAUUUUGGAAACUGUGGCACUGCACACUGUCUUUUUCAACAUAUUCUAUGUGGAAAAUUAGUCUGUACAUGGGAACACAGAGACUUAAUAUCACGUCCAAAUUUAUCUGUGAUUUAUGCACAUGUACGAGACCAAACAUGUGUGUCUACAUACCUACCCAGGAGGACGCCACCUCCAGUAAAUUCACCUAUUUCAAUCACAUCAUAUUAUUCAGCUGAAGACAGAGAUGAAACAUUUGUACAAGAUGGUUCCAUGUGUGGUCCUGAUAUGUAUUGUUUCGAAAUGCAUUGUAAACAUGUUAGAUUCCUGAUGAAUUUAAAAUUGUGUGAUGCUUCUAAUCAUUGUGAUCGUCAUGGAGUUUGCAACAAUUUUAACCAUUGCCAUUGUGAAAAGGGAUAUAAUCCUCCUUACUGCCAACCAAAGCAAGGAGCAUUUGGAAGUAUUGAUGAUGGACACUUAGUACCACCAACUGAGAGAAGUUACAUGGAGGAGGGAAGAUAGGCCACUUUUCAAAAACAACGGUUUCAACUCAUUUUCUACAUUUCUCUACCUGUGCUUCUUAUUACUACUGCCAUUUUAAUAAAACAGAAAAAAUUGAGAGAGCUAUGCUAUAGAGGGGAAAAUGAAAGUGAGAGCUCUGUGUCAGAAGAAAGCAGCAGUAACAGCAAGUCAUCCCUCAGUGAAAGCACCAGUCUCUAA
This 1468-nucleotide long non-coding RNA is filed under the name Homo sapiens (human). RNAcentral's name for it is "novel transcript". Lineage: Eukaryota; Metazoa; Chordata; Mammalia; Primates; Hominidae. The record is from RNAcentral.